This is a non-coding RNA of Cinara cedri, 202 nucleotides long. The record is from the annotation of a GenBank genome assembly. Lineage: Eukaryota; Metazoa; Arthropoda; Insecta; Hemiptera; Aphididae.
CUGGUUUGUUAUAGCCAGUCACCAUCUGAUUUUACUAAAAAGUCAAGUUUUUUUUUUUAAGCUAAUAGUCAGACAUAAGCUUACAUCUGAAUUAGCAAUCUAAGGUUACAUCAAACCGGUUGUAUCAUAACCGAAUAAAAUUUACAGUGGGACUAUAACAAAUACUGAGAAUAUGAUUUAGUCAUAAAAAAAAAAAUUCAAG